UACAGGGGGGGCAAGCGUUGUUCGGAAUUACUGGGCGUAAAGGGUCUGUAGGUGGCCAACUAAGUCAGACGUGAAAUCCCUCAGCUUAACUGGGGAACUGCGUCUAAUACUGGAUGGCUUGAGUGUGGGAGAGGAAUGCGGAAUUCCAGGUGUAGCGGUGAAAUGCGUAGAUAUCUGGAGGAACACCGGUGGCGAAGGCGGCAUUCUGGACCAUAACUGACACUGAGAGACGAAAGCCAGGGGAGCAAACGGG
RNAcentral lists this ribosomal RNA (253 nucleotides) under uncultured bacterium. Its description in RNAcentral is "partial 16S ribosomal RNA". It matches the Rfam family "Bacterial small subunit ribosomal RNA", at positions 524 to 776 of the family's 1533-position model. The record is from RNAcentral.